Molecule: long non-coding RNA, 1489 nt
Organism: Lycium ferocissimum
Lineage: Eukaryota; Viridiplantae; Streptophyta; Magnoliopsida; Solanales; Solanaceae
Exons: 4
Source: RefSeq, a predicted model, not a curated record
AUUUCAGGCCUUCUAGCUUUCUUACUUUGUCAUUUUUCACCUAAACCAGUUCCCAAACACCCCCGAAAUGCUCUUUAAGAGAUCCCAAACCACUCAAGAGAAGAUCCAUAGGAAAAUAACGUAAAUUUUUUGUCGGAAUCCCGUGGUGCUAGUAGAUCGUAGUUUUUCUUCGUUGCUGUUGAUUUAGAGGUUACCCCAAGUUGAAGUUAUCUCAGAUUCGAAUCUGUCUUAGUUGUUUGAGAUUAAGGUGCUGCACGGGCUGCUUUGUUGUGAAGUGAGUCGACGAAGAAUAUCAUCAAGUCAUCUGCAAAGAGUAAAUGAGUCAGCUCUUGAGCCUUACACAUGGGAUGAAAUCUGAUAUCAGUUACACAAGUCAUGAUCAAGUGACAGAAUUUUGGGGGAAAACCAAACCCAUGCAGCAUCUCUGAUACAAACUCCGGCCUUACCAUAUCAUAAGCUUUCCUGAGAUCGAUUUUCAUCAUGCAUCUUGCUGAGGUUUUCUUGUUGUAGUGCCUCAAUAAAUCAUGGCAAAUCAGUACAUUGUGCAGUAAGGACCUGCCCUGGACAAAUCUUUGCAUGUGUUUGGUUCACUAGGUGUGGCAGUACUUGCUUUAAUCUGCUGCAUAAUAGCUUGGAUAUGUACUUAUACACUACAUUACAACAAGCUAUUGGCCUGAACUGGCUUGUAUUUUCAGGUUUGUUUAUUUUGAGAAUAAGUGUGAUCACAGUGGCAUUUAGUUGUUGAAGUAGUUUCCUAUUUCUCAUAAAAUUCAGUACUGCAUCAGUCACCUCCUCUCCUGUUAUGGCCCAAGUAACCCUGAAAAACCCACUGCUAAACCCAUCUGGCCUUGGGCUUUUUGUAGUUUUGAUAUUAAAGAUGGCAUCCUUAACCUCUUUCCUUGUGUACCCUUCAGUAGGCUUACUUGAUGUUCAGCAUUGAGUAAGUUUCCAUUUUUAAUAAACACCUCUGAUAUUUUUUUGUCCAUCUUCUUCCCGGUUUGUUCGGAUCAACAUAUGGAGGAGGUAUUUCUCUCUCUAAAAUCUCCAUAGGAACUUCCCAAGAUUCUUCAGAAGGCACGGGAUUCAUUUCCUCAGAGUAUUCAAUUAUGUAAUUCUCCACCCUAUAAUAUGGAGAUGAGUUGUCAUAAAUCCGCCAUCCAAAGUGUUCACCAUAUUGGACUCGAUGCGCUGCCAUAGCAUAUGGACAAGGUAUUUUAUCCAGGUCAAAAACUCUACAAGUACAAGAUCUUCUUUGCAGAUCGACACUGUAAAUCGAACCGUGGCCGAUGACGCUGAAAUUGUAGUUGGCAAUUUGAUGGGCCAAUAACUUAUUCCCCAAGUUGACAAAUUUUGAUAUUUUUUUUUUUCAUUGAGGGAACAAAGAUGGUUGGUGAGUCGAUGAACUCCAUACGCCUCUCAUGAAAUUUCUCAGUAAACCUCCUGUUUAUGGAAUCAAAUAGAGCAGUAAUGAGAAAUUCUCUUUUAACAU